GGAGGAAUAUUGGGCAAUGGGGGAAACCCUGACCCAGCAACGCCGCGUGAAGGAAGAAGGCCUUCGGGUUGUAAACUUCUGUGACAGGGGACGAAAGAAAUGACGGUACCCUGAGAGGAAGCCACGGCAAACUACGUGCCAGCAGCCGCGGUAAUACGUAGGUGGCGAGCGUUGUCCGGAAUCACUGGGCGUAAAGGGCGCGUAGGCGGUUGUUCAAGUCGCAUGUGAAAUACCAGGGCUUAACCUUGGGGGUGCAUGCGAAACUGGAUGACUUGAGUGCAGUAGAGGUAAGCGGAAUUCCUGGUGUAGCGGUAAAAUGCGUAGAGAUCAGGAGGAACACCGGUGGCGAAGGCGGCUUACUGGGCUGCAACUGACGCUGAGGCGCGAAAGCGUGGGGAGCAAACAGG
Molecule: ribosomal RNA, 407 nt
Filed under: uncultured prokaryote
Also listed under: 1 other name
Description: bacterial SSU rRNA
Rfam family: Bacterial small subunit ribosomal RNA
Source: RNAcentral